RNAcentral lists this ribosomal RNA (496 nucleotides) under uncultured bacterium. Its description in RNAcentral is "partial 16S ribosomal RNA". It matches the Rfam family "Bacterial small subunit ribosomal RNA", at positions 28 to 507 of the family's 1533-position model. The record is from RNAcentral.
GAUGAACGCUGGCGGCGUGCCUAAUACAUGCAAGUCGAGCGAACAGACGAGGAGCUUGCUCCUCUGACGUUAGCGGCGGACGGGUGAGUAACACGUGGAUAACCUACCUAUAAGACUGGGAUAACUUCGGGAAACCGGAGCUAAUACCGGAUAAUAUAUUGAACCGCAUGGUUCAAUAGUGAAAGACGGUUUUGCUGUCACUUAUAGAUGGAUCCGCGCCGCAUUAGCUAGUUGGUAAGGUAACGGCUUACCAAGGCAACGAUGCGUAGCCGACCUGAGAGGGUGAUCGGCCACACUGGAACUGAGACACGGUCCAGACUCCUACGGGAGGCAGCAGUAGGGAAUCUUCCGCAAUGGGCGAAAGCCUGACGGAGCAACGCCGCGUGAGUAUGAAGGUCUUCGGAUCGUAAAACUCUGUUAUUAGGGAAGAACAAAUGUGUAAGUAACUAUGCACGUCUUGACGGUACCUAAUCAGAAAGCCACGGCUAACUACGUG